RNAcentral lists this long non-coding RNA (963 nucleotides) under Homo sapiens (human). Its description in RNAcentral is "long non-coding RNA NONHSAT217555.1". The record is from RNAcentral. Lineage: Eukaryota; Metazoa; Chordata; Mammalia; Primates; Hominidae.
GCAGCCGGUUUGAAAUGCAAGAUGGCGGCGGCGUGGCGCUGAGAGGCGCGGCGGCCCCUGCAGGAGAAGACAGACUGCUGCUUUGGACCUGUUGGUAAUGAUGGCCUGAGCUAAACAUCUAACUAGAAGGGAUACCCUUCCAUUUCAAAGAACAGAAUGCUAAGGAAGCUGUGGCAAGUGAUUGGAGUUGUGCUUCAAAAAUUUCAGAAAUUCAGCAGUAUUUUAUCUGCCAACAAUAAGCUCUUUACUUGAUUGCACCAUGAGAAAGCUGCUAAUGAGACUUGUUGAGCACAAAAAUGGACUUGAAGAACCAAAAGCCAUUGUUUUCAAAUGAAGAACACUGAACAGUUUUAAGCCUCGAUGCUUUUUAAUCACCACUGAGCUUUUCCUCAUAACAUCAGAAUGGCAAGCAGGCGAAAAUCAACAACACCUUGCAUGGUCCUUGCCAGUGAACAAGAUCCAGACCUUGAGUUGAUAUCAGAUUUGGAUGAAGGUCCUCCUGUGCUUACACCUGUAGAAAACACCAGAGCAGAGAGUAUCUCAAGUGAUGAAGAGGUUCAUGAAUCUGUGGAUUCAGACAAUCAGCAAAAUAAAAAAGUUGAAGGUGGAUAUGAAUGUAAAUAUUGUACUUUUCAAACUCCAGAUCUAAAUAUGUUUACUUUUCAUGUGGAUUCGGAACAUCCCAAUGUAGUGCUAAAUUCAUCCUAUGUUUGUGUCGAAUGCAAUUUUCUUACCAAAAGGUAUGAUGCACUUUCUGAGCAUAAUCUGAAAUAUCACCCAGGAGAAGAGAAUUUUAAGUUGACUAUGGUGAAACGUAAUAACCAGACAAUCUUUGAACAAACAAUAAAUGAUCUGACUUUUGAUGGUAGUUUUGUUAAAGAGGAGAAUGCAGAGCAAGCAGAAUCUACAGAAGUUUCUUCUUCGGGAAUAUCUAUCAGUAAAACUCCUAUCAUGAAAAUGAUG